This 307-nucleotide long non-coding RNA is filed under the name Taeniopygia guttata (zebra finch). RNAcentral's name for it is "lncRNA (ENSTGUG00000029517.1)". The record is from RNAcentral. Lineage: Eukaryota; Metazoa; Chordata; Aves; Passeriformes; Estrildidae.
GGGGUUCUGAGGGGGUUUGUGAGGGGAAAUCCCCACCGAGGUGGUUCUGAGGGGAUCUGGGAGGGCUCUGAGGGGUUUGUGAGGGGAAACAGCCCUGAGGGGAUCCUGAGGGGUUCCGAGUGGCCUCUGCCAGCCCCUUUCUCUUUCCAUGUCCCCUCAGACCUCCCCCUUUGCCAGGUGCCACCAUCUCGCUGUCACUCCCUUCUCCAGGUGCCACCAGCUGACUGUCACCCCUUUUCCAGGUGCCACCGGCUGAGUGUCACCCCUUUUCCAGGUGCCACCAGCCGACUGUCACCCUUUUCCAGGU